AGGACGAACGCUGGCGGCGUGCUUAACACAUGCAAGUCGAGCGGAAAGGCCCUUCGGGGUACUCGAGCGGCGAACGGGUGAGUAACACGUGAGCAACCUGCCCUUAGCUCUGGGAUAGCUCCGGGAAACCGGAAUUAGUACCGGAUAUGACCUAGGCCGACAUCGGCCGUGGUGGAAAGUUUUUCGGCUAGGGAUGGACUCGCGGCCUAUCAGCUAGUUGGUGGGGUAAUGGCCUACCAAGGCGACGACGGGUA
RNAcentral lists this ribosomal RNA (254 nucleotides) under uncultured bacterium. RNAcentral describes it as "partial small subunit ribosomal RNA". It matches the Rfam family "Bacterial small subunit ribosomal RNA", at positions 26 to 285 of the family's 1533-position model. The record is from RNAcentral.